CUUUUCUUUUAUUCUUGUACUCCUUUCAGACCAUAAUACAUCUACUACAAGAUAGAGUUCUCACUAUUCGUGAAAAUGCAAGGCUCCAAGGUUUUUCGGACUAUUACAAGUUAAUAGGUCCAAUAAAAGAAAGGUAUAGCAUUGACUAACAUCUAACCAUUUGGUAGAAGAUCUAAUUUUUGUGUAAGGCUGAUGAAUAAUGACCGAGGAACACAACAAAGUUUCAAAUUGCCAGCUCAAAUAUUAGUUGAUUUCUGCAGGUUUCCAAACAUAUGGGCAUUGCGAUUAGUACGUGAAUUAUUACAAUGGAAUACUGUAAGAUGUCUUUAAACAGUCAAUGAUAAAACCUAAAUUUGAUGCAUAUGUUGUCUAUUUGUGUUUCAGGCUGUUGAUUCUGCAUUAUGUUGGACUGCAUCUUUCAUUUCAGGAAGAUUGACGAAGUGUUGAUGAGGCUCUAAAGCACCCCUACUUCUCGCAAAGCAUGGCAGUGAAUGGGCUGAUGUUCAUGGUUGCAGUGGGGUUCAAUGUUGUUGCUAGGAUUUACCCAGGUCUGUGGUCUGCAAUGUUCAUGGUGUAAACCCGAACUUUCUAAAAAUUGGAGAAAAAUGGCCGCAGAAAGGCAAAGUAGUCAGCAAGUUUUCUCUAAAGGUGCAUGCUUCUUAGGAAAAAUGGUUUGGGCGAAAGGCUACAGGGAUUUGAUAGACCUGUUAGCAAAGCACAAAA
Molecule: long non-coding RNA, 723 nt
Organism: Capsicum annuum
Lineage: Eukaryota; Viridiplantae; Streptophyta; Magnoliopsida; Solanales; Solanaceae
Exons: 3
Source: RefSeq, a predicted model, not a curated record